GCUAUUUUGGCAGAUUAGUGCAAUAAAUUUAGAAUUUAUUUAUGUAGUAUACUCUACAAAUAGUA
Molecule: transfer RNA, 65 nt
Filed under: Drosophila eurypeza
Lineage: Eukaryota; Metazoa; Arthropoda; Insecta; Diptera; Drosophilidae
Description: tRNA-Leu
Source: RNAcentral